AUCCAGUUACAUUGGAUCUGACACCUUCACACCAAUGCAUAUAAAAAUAAAGUUAAAUAGACCAUAAAAAAUUUAAAAAAAAAUCUUUGAAACUAAAAGAAUAGAGAGAAAAAAAGCAGAAAUGAUUAACAAGCCCCAAGAAGGCUACAUUUUAGAGAGCGGGUCUCUGCAGCUGAAGCCUCGUCAGAAUGGCUAUGUUCUUUGCAGAGAAAUAGUCAGAAAAACCCAAAUUUUGCAUCCCUGUUCCCCAUUACCUCUGCCCACUGGGCCUCAAUGGUACCAUACAUGUAGACCAGUGGCAAAAGCCCCACAUGCCAUGUGGAGAUAGGCCAGUAAUUUUCCAGGAGACUUUAAAAAUAGAGCUGUAUAAUACAUAUUUUUACAAGCAAGAAGCUGUUGUCAAGGUUUUUUCUGUUUUACACAUCAUAGUUCAUAGAUUAUACAAAGGAACCAUCAAAAGAAAAAUAAAUGCAAAUUUUCCCCUUAAAAAAAAUAGAACACCAGUUACUAGGGUAAAUAACAACUAGGUUGAGUGUUUUCCCCCCUGGAAAAAGAUGGGAAAAAGCCAGUUUUUCCCAGCAUGGGUAGACAUUAUAAAGCAGGAUGUGGCAUUUUCAUUUCAUGAUAGUGAUUCUGGAAGCUUAUUUACACUGUAGGUUCUGAGCUGGCAGUGGACAGUCUCCACUCUUCCUGGCAGUCCUUGUAGUUGUGGGUUGUUCCCACUCAGCCAGAGCAGCACCAGUGCAAGGGGAAUGAAGAGGACCCAGCUGAAAAACUGUGACUCGGUAUUCUUAGUUUAUUGGUUUAUGGCUUGUGGGCAGCUGGCUGGGGCCAGCAACACCAGAGGCCCUGCGUGUAUCUCCCUCUCCCCAUCAGCUAAUUCCAUGCUUGGCAGGUCCCCUACCUGAAAGCAGUGUAUAGAGCAUAUAGGGAUAGGAUACAGCGGGUGUCCCAGGAAAAUUCAACUCUUCCCACUAACACUGGUUUCAUGUCUGUUGUGUUAGAACUCACAGGGAAGAAAUGAGUUUGGCCCCUACUACCUAGCCCAAGAACCAGCCUGGGUACCCAUGUACUAUUGGGAGGGGCAACAGAGAGCAGGACAGAAGACUGCUCUAUCAGGAAAGGCGGAGAAGGAGGUAAGGAAGCCCUGAGGCUGCCAUCCUUUCUCCAGGCAGCCUAGAUACUGAAGGCAAUGACACAGAGCCAGAAAGCCCUCUAUUUCUUACAUUCAUGGUUUAAUACUAGCCAAUGUGUGAUGAUGCCUUAGCCAAAUAAAUAGAGGGGCCACUGGAGAGGACAAGAAAGUAAUGAACUCACUCAGUAUUCCAUAAAGAUCCUACCACUUUGUACCACUGGGCAAGAAAAGUAAAAUAAAAAUAAAAUCCAGGCAGAAGCAAAGACAUCAGCCCUAUACCUGCUGAAUGAAUCUUCAGGAUUCUGCCUUUUUGGAGCAGAUAGGAGAACUGUCCUGUCUGUUCCUUUUAGCACCUCGUUUGGAGUGAACCUAUGCUGGAAAGACAGUCCCCAGCCCUGCAGUAUUCUGUUGUCCCAUAGGGCACCUGGGACUGUGGGGUUGGGACAUUUGGAUGUCACUUAGCAUGUAUAAGCAGGUAAAGACAGAUGGAAUUAACCAGGUAGGAAUUCAUCUGUCCAGUGGGACCUUCUCAUGAGCACUGUUUCUUGAAGAGAGUUUUGAGCAGAGCUCUUUGGCCAAUCAGCCCUUUUCCCCAUCUCAUUUCAGUUCAGGCUGCAACCACAGACACAUUGGGGAAUAACACCUCUCUCAGUCAGGAUGGGCUUCUGUCUAGGAGAUGAGUUUAAACUUGGGACUAAAAAGUGGCUAUAUUUCUGCCUUUCCUAGCUUUGCUACCAACUUCUUCCUCUGUCUCUGUCCUGUCUCUCCUCAUCUUGACUGCCCCCAGGAGUACAAACAUUGUAUCACAUUGGUUUUUGUUUAACUCAAGAAGCAGUCUUUGCACCAGUGUAGGCUUGAUUCUGCAGUCCCUAAACUGACAAACUGCAUUUUCUCCUGCUGACUUCAGCCAGCAGGGAAAUGAGAUUGACCCUUUCUCUCCCAGGGUACCACAGGGACACAUGCUGGGUAGCCCGAGCAUGACACCAGUACUUCUAGAAGGACAGAAAGAAUACUUUGGGUUGGAUAAUCUGAAGGAUGCUGGGCAGAGGGUCAGGGCUGAAGCUUCAAGCAGCAGAAUUUCCAACUCAAGUUUGAGGUGACUAAAGGUAUUCCUGCCACCAGAAUGCUGCUUUUUUCCCUCUUCUGUUUCCUACAGGUGUAAGCCCUGUAACCCACCUUGCCAGCUUUCCCUUUUCUUUCAAAGCAGGAGCAUUUGGCAGGUAGGUUAGGGUCCUGAGGUGCUCUGGCCACAGGUGCCAUCUGUGUAUCCAACUUGUGUGACCAAAGGGAACCACCCAGAUGUGGUCCAGGGGAAUCUCUGUCAUCUGCCCACAGGCCUCCUUAUUUCAGCAGGGAGAUGUCAUCAGCAAAGUCAUCAUGCUGAUGGCGCAGGCAGCGUAGGCAGCGCCACUGACAUACCAUGAGGCAGAGUGGCAACAUGAAGAGGGCGCAGAUAGCAGCCAUGACAUAGGCUAUGGUCAUAAGCGUUGACUCAUCUGUCUGUGGAAUGUUGUAGCCACAGUCUUCCAUGUCUGGUGUAACAAAAGGACCUUCCACUGCUGCUGUCCUGAACUCAUCGUGCACUGGAGAAAAAGUGGAGAUGAACCAGUAGCUCUUAAUGUCAUAGAGCAGUUGGGUUAUACAAUUAAAACAGCUUCCUGACAAGGACCCCUUGGGAUCCACCCAAGUGAGUCUGUGCAGAGCCCUUCCUAGAAGGGGAGCCAGUGCUGGGGGGGGGGGGGGGGGGGGAGGUCUGUUUCUCCUUCCAGGACCCUGGAAACUGCAAGGCUUCCUCAUUUUCCCUUCCAGUAGAAGUGAUACCAAAAAGUCAACAGGUCUGAAUUGACCAAAAUCCAGCCCCUUACACAAGUAGCCGACUUACCUGUCACCAUGAAAGCCCAAUCACAAAGUCCUGCCAACUUUCCGUGGCAGCAUUUAGCCUCACUGUGGGCAGCCAGCUACCCUUGGAGCUAGGGUUUCCAAGUACCUGCAAAGCUCUGGCUGUUAUAGGUUUCCACCAGUGCUUUCCCCGUCAGGCAGGGUUCACCAGAGCAAGCCUUGGCCCUAGCUUUCACACAGUUGACUAGCCAGAGGCAACUAUUACUACCUCCAAACAGAAAGGGACCUGGGCAUCCUAGCUGCUGUCAGGGAGAACAUGACCAGACCGACCCCACACCCUCCUCACUGGUGAGCUCACCGUGGCAAGCACUGACAGCAAAGCCAAUUCGCUUCUGGGCACGAUCAAAGACCACAUAGAAGCCUUCCAUGAUGACAGCUCCCAUAACAGUGCCUGUAGAUGACUGUGAGAUGGCGAACUUGUAACAGUCGUCUUGGGAUGUGGCCACAUCCUCCACAGGCCGCAGGUAUUGCUAGGGAUAAAUGGCUACAGGGUGAGAGCAUGUCUCCUUAUUUCAUCCUCCCACCUCUCUCUGCCUCCUAGCCAUCUGCACUCAAGCUCUUCCCCAAGCCCUGAGAUGUUGAAUUUUCCAAGACCCCGUUAGCACUAGACAUUCAUUUUGCCUUUCAAGUUGUAGGAAGCCAUAUCUGUUUACACACUCUGUCUUCUUGGCAUCCCACUGCCUUAGCUUGGGGACAUACCUGAGGAAGAAUGGUGAUGCGGAAGGACUGAUUGGUGACCUCACCCAUGAGGUAAAGUGAGAUGACUGGGAAAAUGUUCCAAGGGGUAGUGCCUGCUUGCCAGCACACCAGCUGCUCCCCUAGCCAAAAGCCAUCCGGGAACUUCUCAGUCUAUUGACAAGAGAAGAAUGUGAGGAGUCAGCCUGUCUCACCACCUCUGUGUUCACAAUUGCAGUGACAGUGAAGGUACCAACCACUCUAUGCUUUUCUAGGGGAAUUUCUACAGUGGCGAAGGUAAACUGGACUAGGGAUCGGGAGAAGAAAGUGGGACACUGGGCUCAUAAAUUUGUGCUAGGGCUACUGAGCUUAGCAGCUCACACUUCCUGUGGGCUCAGAAUUUGGAAGGUCAAGGCAUGAAGAUGUCAAGUUCAAGGCCAACCUGCAUCACAUUCAUGAUCCUGUCUCACAAAGAGGAGGAAGGGGAGAAGGAAGAAGAAGGUACCAGCUGAACCAGCAGACCGCCAGUUUCCAAGCGCUCUGAGUGGAAGGCCCUACAGACAUCUUUGGCGCUUGCUGAGGAGUGUGACUGUCCCUGACUUGUGACACCAUUGUGUCCUUACUGCACUGACCGAGGAGGCUGCCUUGAUGGACUUGACUGCAGCUUCAAACACUUUCUUAGGCAAACGAAGGUUGGUGGUGCCGCUGUCCACGAUGCUCUUGUCAUAGUUGUACUGGGAAGGAGAGCAAAGGGUCAGAAGAGCUUUUCUGAGGAGGAAUUGAGAGGGGUGAAUCUGAAAGCUAGGCGUCCUGCUAGGGUUGGCAUCUCAGCUUUGCAUACCUCCUUGGGCAAGUUACUUAACCUCUGUGUACCUGUUUCCUUGUCUCUAAAUUGAAGAUAAAAACAGUACCUACCUCAAAGGUUUAUCAUAAAGGAUUAACUAAAUCAACACGCUGGAAGCACUAAGUAGUUCCUAGCAGAUCCCAUGCACUUGGUUAAGUAUUGACUUCAUUACCUUGUGUGGGUAGGUGUUCUCCAAAACUAAACAGAAUGCCUUGUGUGGUGUUUGUAACUUCCUCCAGUACUUUUAUGUAGUUAGUCUCACUUAACGUACAUAGUAAUGUAGAGAAGGUUGGCUCACCAUGCAUGAAGCCCUGGGUUUAAGCGCUAGUACUGCAUGGUGGUGUAUACUUGUAGAGCACUUGAGUCAGAGACAAGGGACCAGGAGUUAAAGGUCAUCUUUAGCUACAUAGCAAGUCUGAGGCCAGCAUGUGCUGCAUGAGACCCUACCUCAAAAAGCCAGAAAAAUGGGCCAUUGAUAUCUCAGCAGAAAAGGAUGCCUGCUACCAAACAUGACCGAGUUCAAUCCUAGGAAGACCCGUAUGGUGGGAGAGCGGGUUACUGGAAAUUGUCCUCUAACCUCCACACACAAGCUGUGGCACAUGUGCCCCUGCCCCCCCCCCCCAAGUAUUUUAAAAAGAAUCUAGGGAAUGCGACCCCAAAUGCUGGCAUUUGGAGUAUAUGAAACAUAGGCACUAACACUUUGGGGUUUUUUUGUUUUUUGUUUGUUUGUUUUGUUUUUAACCUCUGCUUCAUAGACAAGGAGACUGACACCCAGGAGUUAGGAGCCUAAAGGCACUUAUAACAAACACCAGGGCUAGAGUUGGGAGCUGUCCUACCGUACUGGCCCGAGGCCAUGACAGGCAGUGACUAGAGUCCAGACAGGAACUAGUUCCAUGGUUUCAUUCCUGUACUGUAUGUAAGCUACUUGGUCCAGGCUCUGUCCCUUUACCUCAGGGAUUGCUGUGUGAUUUCUAAGCUUUUGACUUGGUCCAGUCCUGACAGGUCCUGUGCCUCCACCCUUUCCUCCCAACCUUUUGACUCUCACGUUGUGUGGCUAAGCCCUUUCCUCUCCCUUGAAACCCCUUCCGUUUUUUACCUCCUUGCAGUCCAUUUUCAGAUCUUGACCAUUGAUCUCCACGCGUACAAUGAUCACUUCAUAAUACCACUCCCGCCUGAUGGGUGUGUACCAGAGACUGCCUGUGUAUAGUGAGUGGUCGAUACCGCCAAUGAUCUAAGAGAAAAAGAGGUGGAUACCUAUGUCCUAGUACAGGAGGAGAGUGGGUCACCCAAAACCGAGACGUAAGAUCAGCCAUUUCUCAGGGUGCCAAGAUUCUCUGCACAUCACCCUUUCUUUCUUCCUUUCUAAUCCCAUCAUGUCCUGUGCAUAGUAAUUUUUAGUUUAAGUGGGUUCAGGAUUAUUUGUAUCAAAAUCCCAUAGUCCUUGACAGAGUACUUAAACCUAAGUUAGCACAAUAAAUGUGGAAUGGAUUGAUUAUAUGCUGCUUUCAUAAGUUUUAUUUUCUUUGCUUGUUGGAGAAUCACUCAUUUCUGUCCUGAUUAAUAAAUAAAUGGGCUUGAAUGAGUCUGGUGGCAUACACCUGUAAUUCAGCACUUGGAAAUUGGAAGGAGGGGGAUGCUGCAAAUCUUAGGUCAGCCUGGUCUACAUAGUGUGCUCUGGGCCAGCUGAGCUACAGGCUUAACAAGCUCAAAUUCCUUGCAUACCUGACUAUCAGACAACAAUCCUAACAGGUCUAAUUUUUGUUUCCUUUGAAAUGUACCUAAUCACUUUCCAUGAGUGAUUCUGCUCCUUUCAAGAAAAGCAGGGAAGAGACAACUGGGAGAAGGAAAGGAGGGAAGUAAGAUUAGAGUAUAAAGGGGUUUCUUGAUCCUGGCCCUGAGGGAGAGGACACACUCACCAUGCUGCCUCCCACUGAGGCUAGUGCCUCAGUCUGGUUGAAGGGAAAGCCAGUGCCACAGAGCUGCAGGGAAAACACAUUGGGAAUGUGGGUCUGCUUCACCAGUGAGUCAAAGAAGGGCUCCAGGGAGUCGUCGGGCUGUGGCAGAAAGACAGGAGUAAAUCCUUGUGCAGGGGCCUAACAGACAGAGGUCAGCUUCCUGCCUAUACUCAGGGACAAAGUCAAAACUUAGGGAUAUUCCUCAGGAAAGAUCAACUGAAGGUACUAAGAUCUGGCUGAGCAAGGGUAAGAGACAUUGCAGUGCAAAUAGACAAUUUUCAUCCAUCCCCAUAUGGUUAACAAUUUCAUAUUUGGAGAUAGCAUCCUGUACCUAUCAUGGCUGCUCCCAUGACAGUCCCACCCCCUGCCUUGUUUUCAGCCCUUUAGACAAACUGUUCCUCUUCCUUUAUGGCACGUGUAUGAGUGUGCACAUACAUGUAGAAACCAAAGGACAACCUUGAACAUUGUUCCUCAGAAUCUGUGUACCUGUUAAAGAUAUGUAUUGUGUGUGCACUGGUAUGUGCACCACAGCAUGGGUGUAAAGAUGAGAGGACAAUGGGCAGGAAUCAGUUUGUUCCUUCUGCCACAUGGGUCUCAGGCUUGGUGGUAAGGGUUCUUACCCACCAAGCCACCUCACCAGCCCUGACUUGUUUUAAAAUUUAUUGUUUUUAUGGUUAUGGAUAUUUUGCCUGCCUGUAUGCCUAUGCACUAUGCACCAUGCAUGUGCUUAGUGCCUGUGGAGACCAGAAGAAAGCAUUGGAUCCCCUGGAACUGGAGUUAACAGGUGGUUGUGAGCUGCUAUGUGGGUUCUAGAAAUCAAACCUGAGUCCCUUGGAAGAGCAGCAAGUACUCUUAGCAAUUGAGCUCUCUCUCCAGCUGCAUCCUAUCUUGGUUUCUAAGGUGGGGUCUCUCAUUGGCUGGGAACUUGUCUAGUAGGCUACAUUAAAUGGCCAGCAAGCCCCAGGAUUUACUUGACUCUGCCUUCGCAGAGUUGGGAUUACAAGCAUGCACUAUUACAUCCAGUUACUUUGAAAAUGUAGGUUGUGGGGAUUAAGUUCUUAUGACUGCUAGCUAAGCACUAUACUCACUAAGCCAUCUCUCCAGUGCCAUGUUUACCCUUUCAGUUCUUUCUUCCCCCUUCUCUCGACUCCUUUCUUGUGUGGCAUGCAGUGAACAGAGUACAGGCAACAGUGUAUAGGUCCAGGCAUGGUUCUCACCCUGGCAAUCUCAGCAUAGGCCAGCCCUAGGAUGCCCUCCCAGUUGGAACCAUUGAUGAAGAACUUGUCCGAUUCAGUGAUGGCAGCGAUGUUGGCACGCACAGUGACGUUGGGGCCAUGAGGGAUGCUCACCAGGUCAGUGCCCAGCUCCCCCUCCCACUUGCCCUGGGUGUAGGGCACAUACACACCCUUUCGGAGGUCUCGGUAUGUGCUGGACCUGUAAAAAGAGAGAUCUGUGUCUGCAAAGCUACAAUGGGUAUGUGUCAUCAAAUAUAUUCCCAAAUGUCCCCUUACCCUACCCACAGCAUUCUAGAAUCUGCUCAGCAGAACAGCCCUAGACAUAUUACCCAGAACAGAAUGUAAGGCAGCUCUGCAGACAGAUGAGCAAGCUGUAGCUGGGGCUUGCUCUUCUGAUUCCAUAGUUGAUAUUGUUGGACCUGAAGCUCAGGCCUAUGAAGAACAAAAUGAGCUUUGUGCAUUGUGCCUGCGGCUGCUGCAAAGACAACUAUUGGACAUCUCCCCCACCCUAGUUCCAGCAUGCUCCCAGAGAAAAGGACCAUUGACUCUCUUGCUGCCUUGGAGCCCAGCGGUACCAUCUGCACCACGGAGAAAGAACCAGGCAGUGUGACUGGAAGCCAUGUAACAACUUCUAGAGAAGAUCUGAACAAGCAUCCCAGCAGAGCAGGAUGGACACCACAAGAGGACUUGUACUCAUUGCUGUGGGAUGCCUCACCUGUGUUUAACCACAUUGCUAACCAGGGCUGGGCAGUGAUGGGACUGGAUGAAGACCUGGAAUGAACUAUCCUUCCACUGAGCUUACCCACACUCCUUCCCCAACUGUGUUCUUAGGGAAAAAGGAAACAGAACAGCAGUCUGUACUUUCCUACAGGUCCAAGGUGAGGCCAUACCUUUCUCACGUCGUCACAGACAUGUCUCAAGCCUCCCACAUCACUCUUCACUGUCUCUCUUACCUCGUACCACUCUAGCCUACCUGCUACACCAAGUGGAACCCAGCUGGUGGCACUGAGGAUGGCACCAAAAGAGGCGAUUCAGUGGGGGCCAUGAAAGAUUCUUUCCUUUGUAUUUUUUGGCUUCUUAAAACUCAAAGAGUAAGGUUUUGCUUAUGUGGUAUAUGUGCACAAAUGUGCACAGAUGAAUAGGGGUGUCUUCUGUUGCUCUCCAUUUUAUUUUUUGAGACAGGAUCUCUCUGAGCCUGAAGUUGGCUGUUUCAGCGGGGCUGGCCAGAAUGGUCCCAGAUCUGCCCAUCUCAACCUGCCAUUGCCUUCGUUAGAGGCACACGCAGUCUUGUGUGGCUUUUAUGUGAGUGCAGCCCUCUUGCUUUCAGUAAGUUCUUAGUCACUGUGCCAUCUCCCCAGCCCCUUUUUGGCUUAUUUUUUUGAGAGUUGCUAUAGAGCCUACAUUGGUCUCAGCAAUCCUCCAAAUGCUGGGAUUACUGGUAUGUGCCAUCAUGCCCAGCUCCUUUACAUGCUUAAAUCAUGCAUAACUACCCACAGUGGCCCUAGAUGAGAACAUGGUGAAAGACACUAACCACUGUAACCCGUUCAGCCUUCUAAACUGUAAGCUAAGCCCUCUUUUUUGUUUGUUUUUUGAGACAGGGUUUCUCUGUGUAGCUCUGGCUGUCCUGGAACUCACUUUGUAGAUCAGGCUGCCUUGAAAU
Molecule: long non-coding RNA, 9403 nt
Organism: Arvicola amphibius (Eurasian water vole)
Lineage: Eukaryota; Metazoa; Chordata; Mammalia; Rodentia; Cricetidae
Exons: 2
Source: RefSeq, a predicted model, not a curated record